RNAcentral lists this long non-coding RNA (3405 nucleotides) under Gallus gallus (chicken). Lineage: Eukaryota; Metazoa; Chordata; Aves; Galliformes; Phasianidae. The record is from RNAcentral.
CCACUGCUGGGGUGAGCACACAGCCACAGCAACACCCGAGCAGAAGUGACCCAGGCAAGUCCAGCAGUUUUGUUAACCAUCCCACAAAGAAGCCAUACCACACUGCUUGGCUGCAAUUAUUUUAAUGGAAAAGACUAAAUUAAUGUUUUACAUAAAUAUCAAUUAGUGAUAAGUCAGUUGAAUAAGUAAAGGAAUACAUACCCCCAAGGUUUAAAGGCUCAUAAUGAACUGAUAAGGUAGCACACAACGACUACAAGGAAUCACAGGAGGUGGGCUGCACUUCAAUCACCUUCAUCAAGUUCAACUGCUAAUCAAAUGAGGCUAUUAUUGGAGUCAGUCAUAGCAUCUUCCCAUGCAACAAAGACAUGUUCAAAGGAGAAAAGUGAACUUCAGAAACACCUUUCUGUUUUCAGUAGAAAACCCCAACUGUUGAAGUACAAAAGCCUCUAGGUAGUGGUCCACUGAUGUCAAGCCCUUUUGGGGUCUAGUUUCAGGUGUGCAGUGUACCCCUCAGACCGAAAACUGGAACAAAUACACAGGUUGUAUCGGACAGCAACGUGUGCGCACAUACCAAGGUCGGAUCUUGCUAAUUUCUACAGCAUUGUAAGGAAGUGAAAUCAUUUUUACUCCGAGGCAGGCUUCAGCCAUAGGGAAAAGGGGAGGCUUUUUAGUCACUAAGUUUCAAGUGAGUAGAAGCUGCAGCACGAAUGAUGCAACUUCAGUUUUUCCAUGCAAACUGACAGGAGUGAUCCACGUUUCCAUCCAACAUCGCUUUCUUUCCUACGAACUCAAAACGUAAAUACCUCGUGAGCUGUAUGUCCAUGGCUACAGGGAGCAGAAUUAUUGGAACCCUCACUUUCAUACUCAGCAGUAAGAAAUUUCACAGCUAAAACACUAAAAUUGAUCAGGCAGUGGGAUCUGCAGUUUGCAAAGCCAGUGCUUCCCAAUUAAAAAAGAAAAAAUAUAUAUAUCCAAUCUGAAGAGAAGGAAUCUAAUUCCCCAAAUACUACCUUUAAAUGCCACCUGGCAAGGAUGCCUGCCUUCCACUGGCUUAGUCAAUAAAAGUUCAUCAUGACUUACCUAAAACCACGUUACCAACUCUCCUGUCACGUGCCAGGUUCCACAACUGAGGUAUUCAGAAUUUAGACUACGCAUACUCAGCUGGGAGACACACCAAUAUAAGAUGCAAAAGAAACCUUUACAAUUAGCAACUGCUCAACUGAAAACAAUUAAUUUCAAGCACAGCCUAAGCUACCUCGCAACCCCAGUAAGCUAGAAUCCAACUCAUGUCAAAGUUGUGGCAGCUGAAUGUAAAUGCAACGUUUCUGAAGUGGAUGGCAGAGGUGUAUGAUUCACAGCACCACAGAGAUUUUGCUUUAUACUUGCACUGCUUUCAACAUACUUCAAGUGAGAGCCCAUUAAGGAAGAUGCAGGUAAUCCCAUAACAUACGAAUUGACUAACAUCUCUAUAGUGUCAGAUUGCUUAUGCUCAGUGGGUUUACAUUUCAAAAUCAAUCAUAACAAAAAGACGUAUUUUGCACCAUAACUCUGUUAUACGAAUAUUUCUUUUUCUGUUCUAAUUUUAAAAGAGAAAGCAGACCGCCAAACACCAACACGAGAAUUCAGCUGGCUGCAGUCACUCAGCAUGAUGUGCGAUUCGUCAGCAGGAAGGGGACAAUUCCAAUGCCUCCAGUUCUUCACAUCUGCAGAGUGGUGCGAUACAGCCAUUUCUCGUUGUCUCCAUUGAGUUUCAUACAGGCAAACAGGUCGCAAACCGUAGGAAGGCCAAACUCUUGUGCUUUCUUGUGUAGGAGCCAUUUAUCUUCCACUGGAGGCGGGUUAUCAUUUUCUAGGUUGUUUGAAGCCAAUACCCAACUGUUUACAUUCAAGGGGUGGUGGAAUGGAGCCAAGAGGUCCACAAAGGGACUUCUGGAACUACUAUUUACUUUCUCUCUGCUUGCCUUCUCAUCUGCACUUUCUGCUUUGUGCUCAGACUUGGCUAGCCAGCUCGUCAGAGGCCUUUCAAGCAGUACUUUGAAGGGUUCUGCUAUCUCUGCUGAAUAAUCCACUUUCUCGGCGCUAACAGGUUCCCCUGAGAGCUGUUGUGAAGGGUUAAGCCAGGAACUGACAAGAGACUUUGUCUUCUCAUGCUCUACGUUUGGUACAGCUUUCUGGCUUACUGGAACUCCAUUUUUAUCCUUCCCUUCCUUCUUCAGAAGCCAUUUACACAGAGCCUCUUUUCCACAGUUUUCAUCACACACACAUUCUGAGAAGCUGCUACACAGCUCAUUAGCUUUGCACACAUCUUCCAUUUUAAAAGGGGGCUGGGGGUGCUGAAGAAGCCAGGCAUUUACAGCAGAUGUAGUGGGUAACUUCUUUCCAUCGAGAUGCUCAUUCAGGCACUUCAGGUUUCCCAGGUUCUCAAUUUCCACACUUUUGAUCUGGCUGCCACGACAACUGGUACACGUUUCAGCUUUGAGGAGCCAAUCAUUGCAAUUAAAUUCUUCCCUAAAAGGUUUAAAUUCAUACUUCCAUUUCUCAUCUGAAGCGCUACCUCCGUUUUCCACGCCAGGUGUAAGCAGCCAGUCGGAAAGGUCCACCUCCUCUUGCACAAGGGAUUCCAAUUCCUCCACCUUUUUUUCCAUGGAAAAGGAUGAGUUGGAAGUCAAGGUGGAGUCCUUGUGACCAGGGGCAUCUGUCUUCCCAGCAACGUCAUGCUGCUGAUUGCGCAGGAGCCAGUUUUCCAAAUCUUUCAAGUUUCCCCAGGCUCUUUCAAAAUAGCAGACUUUGGAAGAGCUUAAAUCCUAGUAAAGACACAUUGAAAAGCAGUUAUUGACACUAAAAAAACGUUUCACUAACUGCUUGCAUAGUCAUAGCUUCAAAAUUACAGGAGAUUUAAGUUCCACCACAUUCCACCUGCAACCAUUCUCUCCUUACGAGGUUAGUGCAUAAAUGGCAUACCUGGCUGGGUUCUGACACAGAUUUCUGGGUCACCCAUUCCUCGAGAUUGGUGCUGGGAAUAUAUGGAGCCCGGCAAACAUCCACAGGUCUGCUUCCAAGCAACCAGUCAGCAAGCGAGGUGCCCACUGUCCCACACAGUGUUUUCUGCUGAUAAAGAAACAUUGUUGGUUAUCAAGUUGUCUAAUUGCUGAAGCAAUCAAAGGUGAACAUCCAAAUGAACAUUCAGUACACGUCAGAACUUCAGAACCAGUAUUUCUUCUAGUUAGCAAAAACAGAUCUUCACUCAUGUGUAUGACUUCAAGCCACUGCACCAAUUGUUUUGUGAUACGAGGCUGUUCAGAGAGCAAACAAAGGGAAGUGACAGCUUCCACAGUGCAUAAUCUAGUCAUAACCCCCUAAAUUUGACCACACUUCCAUUUCUAAUUUGCUGCCCUCCAAAUCUUU